GAGUAAGACCAAGCGGCGGACGGGUGAGUAACGCGUGGGUAACCUGCCCUAUACACAUGGAUAACAUACUGAAAAGUUUACUAAUACAUGAUAAUAUAUAUUUACGGCAUCGUAGAUAUAUCAAAGUGUUAGCGGUAUAGGAUGGACCCGCGUCUGAUUAGCUAGUUGGUGAGAUAACUGCCCACCAAGGCGACGAUCAGUAGCCGACCUGAGAGGGUGAUCGGCCACAUUGGAACUGAGACACGGUCCAAACUCCUACGGGAGGCAGCAGUGGGGAAUAUUGCACAAUGGGCGCAAGCCUGAUGCAGCAACGCCGCGUGAACGAUGAAGGUCUUCGGAUCGUAAAGUUCUGUUGCAGGGGAAGAUAAUGACGGUACCCUGUGAGGAAGCCCCGACUAACUACGUGCCAGCAGCCGCGGUAAUACGUAGGGGGCUAGCGUUAUCCGGAUUUACUGGGCGUAAAGGGUGCGUAGGUGGUCUUUCAAGUCGGUGGUUAAAGGCUACGGCUCAACCGUAGUUAGCCUCCGAAACUGGAAGACUUGAGUGCAGGAGAGGAAAGUGGAAUUCCCAGUGUAGCGGUGAAAUGCGUAGAUAUUGGGAGGAACACCAGUAGCGAAGGCGGCUUUCUGGACUGCAACUGACACUGAGGCACGAAAGCGUGGGUAGCAAACAGGAUUAGAUACCCUGGUAGUCCACGCUGUAAACGAUGAGUACUAGGUGUCGGGGGUUACCCCCCUCGGUGCCGCAGCUAACGCAUUAAGUACUCCGCCUGGGGAGUACGCACGCAAGUGUGAAACUCAAAGGAAUUGACGGGGACCCGCACAAGUAGCGGAGCAUGUGGUUUAAUUCGAAGCAACGCGAAGAACCUUACCUAAGCUUGACAUCCCUUAGACCGGUGUUUAAUCACACCUUCCCUUCGGGGCUGAGGUGACAGGUGGUGCAUGGUUGUCGUCAGCUCGUGUCGUGAGAUGUUGGGUUAAGUCCCGCAACGAGCGCAACCCUUGUCUUUAGUUGCCAGCAUUCAGUUGGGCACUCUAGAGAGACUGCCAGGGAUAACCUGGAGGAAGGUGGGGAUGACGUCAAAUCAUCAUGCCCCUUAUGCUUAGGGCUACACACGUGCUACAAUGGGUGGUACAGAGGGUUGCCAAACCGUGAGGUGGAGCUAAUCCCUUAAAGCCAUUCUCAGUUCGGAUUGUAGGCUGAAACUCGCCUACAUGAAGCUGGAGUUACUAGUAAUCGCAGAUCAGAAUGCUGCGGUGAAUGCGUUCCCGGGUCU
RNAcentral lists this ribosomal RNA (1276 nucleotides) under uncultured bacterium. RNAcentral describes it as "bacterial SSU rRNA". It matches the Rfam family "Bacterial small subunit ribosomal RNA", at positions 83 to 1381 of the family's 1533-position model. The record is from RNAcentral.